This 203-nucleotide microRNA precursor is filed under the name Oryza rufipogon (brownbeard rice). RNAcentral's name for it is "MIR812 microRNA precursor family". It matches the Rfam family "MIR812 microRNA precursor family". The record is from Rfam by way of RNAcentral. Lineage: Eukaryota; Viridiplantae; Streptophyta; Magnoliopsida; Poales; Poaceae.
AAUAAGUACAACCAUAAAUUUUCAUGUCCAACUUUAAUCGUUUGUCUUAUUUAAAAUACUUUUGAAAAAAACUAAAAAACCAUAACUCACGCAUAAAGUACUAUUCAUGUUUUAUAAUCUAAUAACAAUAAAAGCACUAAUCAUAAAAAAUAAAUAAGACGGACGAUAAAAAUUAGACACGGAAACUUAUAAGUGCGUUUAUU